CAGCAGCCGCGGUAAUACGAAGGGGGCUAGCGUUGUUCGGAAUUACUGGGCGUAAAGCGCACGUAGGCGGAUAUUUAAGUCAGGGGUGAAAUCCCGCAGCUCAACUGCGGAACUGCCUUUGAUACUGGGUAUCUUGAGUAUGGAAGAGGUUAGUGGAAUUGCGAGUGUAGAGGUGAAAUUCGUAGAUAUUCGCAGGAACACCAGUGGCGAAGGCGGCUAACUGGUCCAUAACUGACGCUGAGGUGCGAAAGCGUGGGGAGCAAACAGGAUUAGAUACCCCCGUAGUCCCUGUCUCUUAUAA
RNAcentral lists this ribosomal RNA (301 nucleotides) under uncultured bacterium. Its description in RNAcentral is "partial 16S ribosomal RNA". It matches the Rfam family "Bacterial small subunit ribosomal RNA", at positions 509 to 809 of the family's 1533-position model. The record is from RNAcentral.